This 1326-nucleotide ribosomal RNA is filed under the name uncultured bacterium. RNAcentral's name for it is "bacterial SSU rRNA". It matches the Rfam family "Bacterial small subunit ribosomal RNA", at positions 8 to 1367 of the family's 1533-position model. The record is from RNAcentral.
AGAGUUUGAUCAUGGCUCAGGAUGAAUGCUGGCGGCGUGCCUAACACAUGCAAGUCGAGCGGCAGCGAGGGGUGCUUGCACCCUGUCGGCGAGCGGCGAACGGCUGAGUAACGCGUAGGAAUUUGCCCCAAAGUGAGGGAUAACUGCCCGAAAGGGUAGCUAAUACCGCAUAUGGUCUUUGGAUUAAAGGAUUUAUCCGCUUUGGGAGAAGCCUGCGUUGGAUUAGGUAGUUGGUAGGGUAAUGGCCUACCAAGCCGACGAUCCAUAGCUGGUCUGAGAGGAUGAUCAGCCAGACUGGAACUGAGACACGGUCCAGACUCCUACGGGAGGCAGCAGUGAGGAAUCUUCCACAAUGGGCGAAAGCCUGAUGGAGCAACGCCGCGUGAAGGACGAAGGCCUUCGGGUUGUAAACUUCUUUUAUGAGUGAAGAAUAUGACGGUAACUCAUGAAUAAGCACCGGCUAACUACGUGCCAGCAGCCGCGGUCAUACGUAGGGUGCAAGCAUUAUCCGGAGUGACUGGGCGUAAAGAGUUGCGUAGGCGGUUUAAUAAGUGAAUAGUGAAACCUGGUGGCUCAACCAUACAGACUAUUAUUCAAACUGUUAAACUCGAGAAUGGUAGAGGUAACUGGAAUUUCUUGUGUAGGAGUGAAAUCCGUAGAUAUAAGAAGGAACACCGAUGGCGUAGGCAGGUUACUGGGCCAUUUCUGACGCUAAGGCACGAAAGCGUGGGGAGCGAACCGGAUUAGAUACCCGGGUAGUCCACGCCGUAAACGAUGGAUACUAGCUGUUGGAGGUAUCGACCCCUCCAGUAGCGAAGCUAACGCGUUAAGUAUCCCGCCUGUGGAGUACGGCCGCAAGGCUAAAACAUAAAGGAAUCUGUCGGGGACCCCGCACAAGCGGUGGUUUAUGUUGUUUAAUACGAUGAUAACCGAAGAUCCUCUACCAGGAGCUUGACAUCCAGGGAAGGUCUAUGAAAGUAGACUGAGCCUUAUGGAACCCUCCGACAGGUGAUGCAUGGCUGUCGUCAGGUCGUGUCGUGAGAUGUGAGGCUAAGUCCUUCCUCGAGGGCAACCCUUGCAAGUAGUGGUAGUUUUUCUACUUCAACAUCCCCGGUAUCGGGGAGGAAGGAGGGGAUGAUGUCACGUCAGUACUUUCCCGUAUCGUCUCGGGCUAGAAACGUAAUACAUUGGCUCAUACAAUGCGCAGCGAAGCCGCGAGGAGAAGCAAAUCGCAUCAAAGCUAGUCCCACUUCGGCUUGGAGGCGAAAACUCGCCUCCAUGAAGUUGGAAUCCCUAGUAAUAACGAAUCAGCAAGUUGCGGUGAAU